UAUCCCUACGGGAGGCAGCAGUGGGGAAUAUUGCACAAUGGGGGAAACCCUGAUGCAGCGACGCCGCGUGAGUGAGGAAGUAUUUCGGUAUGUAAGGCUCUAUCAGCAGGGAAGAAAAUGACGGUACCUGACUAAGAAGCCCCGGCUAACUACGUGCCAGCAGCCGCGGUAAUACGUAUGGUGCAAGCGUUAUCCGGAUUUACUGGGUGUAAAGGGAGCGCAGGCGGCACGGCGAGCCUGAUGUGAAAGCCCGCGGCCCAACCGCG
RNAcentral lists this ribosomal RNA (266 nucleotides) under uncultured bacterium. RNAcentral's name for it is "partial 16S ribosomal RNA". It matches the Rfam family "Bacterial small subunit ribosomal RNA", at positions 334 to 617 of the family's 1533-position model. The record is from RNAcentral.